Molecule: ribosomal RNA, 230 nt
Filed under: uncultured bacterium
Lineage: Bacteria
Description: partial 16S ribosomal RNA
Rfam family: Bacterial small subunit ribosomal RNA
Source: RNAcentral
UAAGUAACCUGCCCUGGACUUUGGGAUAACCCUCGGGAACGGGGGCUAAUACCGGAUAUGACAUGCUCUCGCAUGGGGGUGUGUGGAAAGUUUUUCGGUCUGGGAUGGGCUCGCGUCCUAUCAGCUUGUUGGUGGGGUGAUGGCCUACCAAGGCGACGACGGGUAGCCGGCCUGAGAGGGUGACCGGCCACACUGGGACUGAGACACGGCCCAGACUCCUACGGGAGGCA